CCUACGGGCGGCUGCAGUGGGGAAUAUUGGACAAUGGGGGGAACCCUGAUCCAGCCAUGCCGCGUGUGUGAAGAAGGCCCUCGGGUUGUAAAGCACUUUCAGUGAGGAAGAACGCCUGGUGGUUAAUACCCAUCAGGAAAGACAUCACUCACAGAAGAAGCACCGGCUAACUCCGUGCCAGCAGCCGCGGUAAUACGGAGGGUGCGAGCGUUAAUCGGAAUUACUGGGCGUAAAGCGCGCGUAGGUGGCUUGAUAAGCCGGUUGUGAAAGCCCCGGGCUCAACCUGGGAACGGCAUCCGGAACUGUCAAGCUAGAGUGCUGGAGAGGAAGGUGGAAUUCCCGGUGUAGCGGUGAAAUGCGUAGAGAUCGGGAGGAAUACCAGUGGCGAAGGCGGCCUUCUGGACUGACACUGACACUGAGGUGCGAAAGCGUGGGUAGCAAACAGGAUUAGAUACCCGAGUAGUC
Molecule: ribosomal RNA, 465 nt
Filed under: Vreelandella stevensii
Lineage: Bacteria; Pseudomonadati; Pseudomonadota; Gammaproteobacteria; Oceanospirillales; Halomonadaceae
Description: partial 16S ribosomal RNA
Rfam family: Bacterial small subunit ribosomal RNA
Source: RNAcentral